GACGAACCGUGCGAACGUUGUUCGGAAUCACUGGGCUUAAAGGGCGCGUAGGCGGGCUGUCAAGUCUGGGGUGAAAUCCCGCGGCUCAACCGCGGAAGUGCCUUUGAUACUGACGGCCUCGAGGGAGGUAGGGGCGUGUGGAACUUCCGGUGGAGUGGUGAAAUGCGUAGAUAUCGGAAGGAACGCCGGUGGCGAAAGCGACGCGCUGGACCUCUUCUGACGCUGAGGCGCGAAAGCCAGGGGAGCAAACGGG
RNAcentral lists this ribosomal RNA (253 nucleotides) under uncultured bacterium. Its description in RNAcentral is "partial 16S ribosomal RNA". It matches the Rfam family "Bacterial small subunit ribosomal RNA", at positions 524 to 776 of the family's 1533-position model. The record is from RNAcentral.